Molecule: ribosomal RNA, 255 nt
Filed under: uncultured bacterium
Lineage: Bacteria
Description: partial 16S ribosomal RNA
Rfam family: Bacterial small subunit ribosomal RNA
Source: RNAcentral
UACGGGGGGGGGCAAGCGUUGUUCGGAAUUACUGGGCGUAAAGGGCUCGUAGGCGGCCAACUAAGUCAGACGUGAAAUCCCUCGGCUUAACCGGGGGAACUGCGUCUGAUACUGGUUGGCUUGAGUGUGGGAGAGGGAUGCGGAAUUCCAGGUGUAGCGGUGAAAUGCGUAGAUAUCUGGAGGAACACCGGUGGCGAAGGCGGCAUCCUGGACCAUUACUGACGCUGAGGAGCGAAAGCCAGGGGAGCAAACGGG